GUGGCGAACGGGUGAGUAACACGUGGGUAACCUGCCCCCAUCUCUGGGAUAACUGCUGGAAACGGUGGCUAAUACCGGAUACUACUGCUGGUCGCAUGGCCUGGUGGUGGAAAGCUUUUGCGGUUGGGGAGGGGCUCGCGGCCUAUCAGCUGGUUGGUGGGGUGAUGGCCUACCAAGGCGGUGACGGGUAGCCGGCCUGAGAGGGCGGUCGGUCACAUUGGGACUGAGAUACGGCCCAGACUCCUACGGGAGGCAGCAGUGGGGAAUUUUGCACAAUGGGCGGAAGCCUGAUGCAGCGACGCCGCGUGAGGGAUGACGGCUUUCGGGUUGUAAACCUCUUUUAUCCAUGACGAAGGUCAGGUUUUUGCCUGGUUGACGGUAGUGGUUGAAUAAGCGCCGGCUAACUACGUGCCAGCAGCCGCGGUAAGACGUAGGGCGCGAGCGUUGUCCGGAUUUAUUGGGCGUAAAGGGCUCGUAGGCGGCUCGUCGCGUCUGCCGUGAAAGACCACAGCUUAACUGUGGUUUUGCGGUGGAUACGGGCGGGCUUGAGGCCAGUAGGGGAGAUCGGAAUUCUACGUGUAGCGGUGAAAUGCGCAGAUAUGUGGAGGAACACCGGUGGCGAAGGCGGAUCUCUGGGCUGGUUCUGACGCUGAGGAGCGAAAGCAUGGGGAGCGAACAGGAUUAGAUACCCUGGUAGUCCAUGCUGUAAACGGUGGGCGCUAGGUGUGGGGGUGGCAUUGGUUCACUCUG
Molecule: ribosomal RNA, 750 nt
Filed under: Glycomyces sp. 41662
Lineage: Bacteria; Bacillati; Actinomycetota; Actinomycetes; Glycomycetales; Glycomycetaceae
Description: bacterial SSU rRNA
Rfam family: Bacterial small subunit ribosomal RNA
Source: RNAcentral